RNAcentral lists this transfer RNA (82 nucleotides) under Oscillospiraceae bacterium. RNAcentral describes it as "tRNA-Leu". It matches the Rfam family "tRNA". From Rfam's summary of the family: Transfer RNA (tRNA) molecules are approximately 80 nucleotides in length. Their secondary structure includes four short double-helical elements and three loops (D, anti-codon, and T loops). The record is from RNAcentral. Lineage: Bacteria; Bacillati; Bacillota; Clostridia; Eubacteriales; Oscillospiraceae.
GCGGAUGUGGUGGAAUGGCAGACACGCUGGUCUUAGGAACCAGUCCGAGAGGGUGUGGGUUCGACUCCCACCAUCCGCACUA